GCGCGUUGUGAUUGGCUGAAAGGCUUCUUUCGGGGGGAAGUUCUUGAGUUGUUUGUCAAUACUGAAUAAUGAAUAUCCAAUUACUAACACAAGAUGGCAGCAGCAAUGGAAGGGUUCGAAGAAAAAUUAGCAGAAGUCCGAAAAUAUGGUCAUCUUUACGAUUCUUCGAGACGAGAUUAUAAAGAUACUCAGAAAACCAAUAAUUCUUGGAAUGAAAUAGCGAGAAACCUUAACACAAAUGAACAAAUUUGUCGACAGAAAUGGAAAAAUUUGAGAAAUCGUUACACCAAAGCCAAGAAACGAAUGAAGUCUAGAAGUGGAGAUGCUGGUGGCAAAUCUAUCCCACCGAUAUUCCUCAGUCUGUCUUGUCUGAUCAUAUAAAGCAUAGGGACACAGAAACUAAUUUUCGGGAGGAGAACACUGAAGAACCUAUAACAACAUCAGAAUCCCUUCCACUAGGAGAAAUUUUGUGACGAUAAAUAUGGAGGAGUUUGACCUAACCGCAUGGUCUCCCUCAACAAGUAGAAGCGAUUCAAAUGUCAGUGAAAAUUCGUGUACAACACCUACAUUACCUACCAAACCUACCACACCAGUAAGUAGUGACCCAUCUGCCCCUUCCACAAUUGCUUGAGUAGAGCUGUGGUAAACCCGACCAAGGGCUAUAGAAAGAGAUCUGCACAUUUAGAGACAUUAGUUUGUGAAAGACUUGAUUCUUUGAAAA
Molecule: long non-coding RNA, 721 nt
Organism: Xenia sp. Carnegie-2017
Lineage: Eukaryota; Metazoa; Cnidaria; Anthozoa; Malacalcyonacea; Xeniidae
Exons: 2
Source: RefSeq, a predicted model, not a curated record